RNAcentral lists this transfer RNA (72 nucleotides) under Marseillevirus LCMAC202. RNAcentral describes it as "tRNA-Asp". It matches the Rfam family "tRNA". From Rfam's summary of the family: Transfer RNA (tRNA) molecules are approximately 80 nucleotides in length. Their secondary structure includes four short double-helical elements and three loops (D, anti-codon, and T loops). Lineage: Varidnaviria; Bamfordvirae; Nucleocytoviricota; Megaviricetes; Pimascovirales; Marseilleviridae. The record is from RNAcentral.
GGUACCGUGUGUGUAGUGGUAGCAUACUUCCCCGUCACGGAAGAGAUCCCGGUUCAAUUCCGGGCGGUACCG